This 196-nucleotide unclassified non-coding RNA is filed under the name uncultured fungus. RNAcentral's name for it is "partial contains 18S rRNA, ITS1, 5.8S rRNA, ITS2 and 28S rRNA". The record is from RNAcentral. Lineage: Eukaryota; Fungi.
AAGGAUCAUUAACGAGUGUUUGGGCUUAUAGCCCAGCCUCCCAUCCCUUGUGCAAAAUCGAUGUUGCUUCGGCGGCCGCCGUGGGAAACCUCGGAUGCCGCCGGUAGCCAGAAUAUAAAACCUUCGUUUUGAAUAGUUAAGUCUGAGUUAGUUGGCAAGCGAACUACAACUUUCAACAAUGGAUCUCUUGGUUCUG